Molecule: long non-coding RNA, 2436 nt
Organism: Rosa rugosa (rugosa rose)
Lineage: Eukaryota; Viridiplantae; Streptophyta; Magnoliopsida; Rosales; Rosaceae
Exons: 3
Source: RefSeq, a predicted model, not a curated record
UUUCGAACUGAGGAUUGGGGUUCUCUAUUUCCCUUUCUCUUCCAGCGUCCUUCUUCCUUCUUUCUUCUUGGUCAGAGGCGCUCAGAUUAUUUGCUUCUUCUUUUUUUCUUCUUUUGUUGUCAUUUUUCUUCUUUCUCUAUUUUUACUUCCUCAUCUCUCCUCCAGUCGCUCUCACCCUCAAAAACCAGAUCGAAAAACAUGCCAAACACCAAACAACCAAAUCUGAAUCGUACCUUCGCCAUCCGUUUCGUCAUCCUUCUCUCUCAGCCUCUCACAUCCUGUUUCAUGUCCUAUGAAACCAAUCUUGGCCCAAAAUCCGUAAUACCCAAAUCAAAAAACCUAACACCUCAGCCCCAAAUACCUCCUCCAAUCACACGUGCUCUCUCGACUUCUUGCUUAGCAAUCAGUUGCUUGUCACACUCGAUUUCUGUUUAGCAAUCGAAAUCUUGUCGCUCGUUAGUAAAGCUUUGAAGAUAAGUUAUAGGUUUCUGGUAGUGAUUUGGCUUGAAAUCUGGUAGUGAUUUCAAUUCGCAGCAGUCAAUUUGAAGGUAUUGGAGUUCGAUUCGCAGCAGGCCAUUUGAAGGUAUUGGAGUUCGAUUCGCAGCAGGCCAUUUGAAGGUAUGAUUCCAAUUGAUUUCAUUAUAAAUCUGGGUUUGAGUUGUUCCGUUUGGAUAAUCAUAUAGAGUAAGUGUCUAUGCUUUUGUGGAGAAUCUUUGUGGGGUAUUCCAGCUGCUAUUCUUUCACUGGUGAAUGGGAAACCUCUGAUCUAUAUGAAGUUCCCUUCUGCUUCUGCCAAUGAAAAAGUCGAAAAAGUUUUAUCUGGUCAUUAGAGUAUAUCAUUAUAAAUUUAGUUGCUGGGUUGAUUUUUAGGUGAUUGUGUUUAUAGUGCAGGUGAUUGUGUUUAGUUGCUGGGUUGGAUUUCAUUUAGAAUUUGUCAACAGUAUGAUUGUUGGUAAUGUAUGAACUGUUUUGAUUGUCAGGCAAACUUGAUUAAGUUUUUAUAACCGUUGGGGUUUUGUUCCCUCCCUGACGCAUUACUUCACCAAUAUUCCCUUCUGGUUUUUCUCUUCACCAUCACAUUCUCCUCAUCAUAAGGAUUGGUUUUGUCUCUAGUUUUUCUUCUUUUUCUUCCAGAGGCUCGACUUGUGUCAGCGAUGUGGAGAUGUCAAGUUUGGAGGAGGAGGAGGACUGGAAAUUGGGGCUUUCAAUGGUGGAAGGCUCGGAGGAGGAGGGUCUUCGUUCGGGUUCGGCAGCCCAACUACCGGCUCGGAUGUGAAAUCUGGAGGUUGGAUUUGUACCAAGUAGUUAUGCUAGCUAGAAGAACUGGAUUUGCACAUCUUUAAUCUUUUUGGUUUGGCUAGCUUUUCUGUGCAAUGAUAUAAUUUUCAGCUAGUUUUAGUUUAUUAGUUUCUCAUUACUUGCGUAUUGAAUUCCUCUUUCUUUGACUACUUUUCAAGAUAGAUACAAGUACUUUAAGAAUCUCUUUCUCUAGAUCUGUUCUUUGACUGCUUUUUGGUUUGCCUAGGAACAAUGUGUUCUGUAAGUUAGUUUAGGAGACCGAAAUGCUUUUGCAGAAGUACCAGCAUGUAUUAUUUUGGGAUUUUUUGAUUCUCUUGUAUAUGGUUCUGUCAUUUCCCAGUUCUAGAUUCCUCUGCCACAGUCUUAAUCCAUUUCAUAUAUUAUAUACUAUGUAACUAGUAUACUAUUUAUAAAUCUGAUGUUGGCCUGCCAAUUGUAUCUUUAACUAGACCCAAUAAAGCUAAGCUUUGAGGAUUUCAUAAACUCGUUGUGUUCUAUUUAUGGUCAGGAACUCGUUGACGAGUUAAGGGUAUAUUUUCUCUUCUUUGACAGUGCUGCUUAUGGCAAAAGUGAUCUGUAUCCCUCACGCCCAGUUUAGAGUGAAGCAUAUGAUAUUCAAGAACUAGCCGACACGUUGCAGAUUGGGUCCAAAUUCUAUGUAAUUGGAAUUUCAAUGGGGGCUUACCCUGUUUGGAGUUGCUUGAAAUACAUACCGCACAGGCAUGCUACUUACUUGAAGAGCCAUGGCGCUAUUGUUUUCUUUUUUUGUUUUGAAUAAUGUUUCUGACAUUUACUAAAGAGAGGGACAUUUACUAAACAAGAGAGGGAGACAUUCCUAACCCUUCAUCAUAUGUUAGGCAACAAGUGGUCUCAGAUUGCACAACAUUUGCCUGGAAGGACAGACAAUGAGAUAAAAAAACUUAUGGCAUUCUUAUUUGAAGAAGAAAGUGGCCAAGGCUGAUGAAGAUCAAGAUCAAAUGGAACUAGCUCAAAGCAAGUCUCAGUACACAAGUUUAUAUAUGGGGUGAUUUAUGUAGUGAUUUUACCUUGCAUAAUGAUGUGAUGUAUAUAAAAGGGGGUGAACUUUGAACUUCUAAUUAUGCUUCUAUAUAAUAGUAAGGUUAGAGAGAUUGAAUA